UGGACAUUGUCAAGGUGAGUCGUGUUAAACGCGCAUUUGUAUUUUCCAGAGAACUGAGGCGAACGAAAAACAUAAACAUGGACAACAACAACAAAAAUGAUAAAUGUAAAACCCUUGUAAAACAAAAAAUACUAAAUAACUUUGGUAUAACUCCUAGAGACCUCACCAAGAGAUUUGAGCCUUUUGGUGUAGUGGUUUUAGAAUGACCGAGACCAGGGUUUGAGUCCUGGUCAGGACUCUAAUGAACCACAUUGGUUUCAGCAGUUGGAUAGCACUAUUGACAGCAUGGGGCGGCAGGGUAGCCUAGUGGUUAGAGCGUUGGACUAGUAACCGGAAGGUUGCGAGUUCAAACCCCCGAGCUGACAAGGUACAAAUCUGUCGUUCUGCCCCUGAACAGGCAGUUAACCCACUGUCCCUAGACCAGUUAACCCACUGUCCCUAGACCAGUUAACCCACUGUCCUAGACCAGUUAACCCACUGUUCCUAGACCAGUUAACCCACUGUUCCUAGACCAGUUAACCCACUGUUCCUAGACCAGUUAACCCACUGUUCCUAGACCACUGUUCCUAGACCAGUUAACCCACUGUUCCUAGACCAGUUAACCCACUGUUCCUAGACCAGUUAACCCACUGUUCCUAGACCAGUUAACCCACUGUUCCUAGACCAGUUAACCCACUGUCCCUAGACCAGUUAACCCACUGUCCCUAGACUAGUUAACCCACUGUCCCUAGACUAGUUAACCCACUGUUCCUAGACUAGUUAACCCACUGUUCCUAGACCAGUUAACCCACUGUUCCUAGACCAGUUAACCCACUGUUCCUAGACCAGUUAACCCACUGUCCCUAGACCAGUUAACCCACUGUUCCUAGACCAGUUAACCCACUGUUCCUAGACCAGUUAACCCACUGUUCCUAGACCAGUUAACCCACUGUUCCUAGACCAGUUAACCCACUGUUCCUAGACCAGUUAACCCACUGUUCCUAGACCAGUUAACCCACUGUCCCUAGACCAGUUAACCCACUGUCCCUAGACCAGUUAACCCACUGUCCCUAGACCAGUUAACCCACUGUCCCUAGACCAGUUAACCCACUGUUCCUAGACCAGUUAACCCACUGUUCCUAGACCAGUUAACCCACUGUUCCUAGACCAGUUAACCCACUGUUCCUAGACCAGUUAACCCACUGUUCCUAGACCAGUUAACCCACUGUUCCUAGACCAGUUAACCCACUGUUCCUAGACUAGUUAACCCACUGUCCCUAGACCAGUUAACCCACUGUUCCUAGACUAGUUAACCCACUGUUCCUAGACUAACCCACUGUCCCUAGACCAGUUAACCCACUGUUCCUAGACCAGUUAACCCACUGUUCCUAGACCAGUUAACCCACUGUUCCUAGACCAGUUAACCCACUGUUCCUAGACCAGUUAACCCACUGUUCCUAGACCAGUUAACCCACUGUUCCUAGACCAGUUAACCCACUGUUCCUAGACCAGUUAACCCACUGUUCCUAGACCAGUUAACCCACUGUUCCUAGACCAGUUAACCCACUGUUCCUUGACCAGUUAACCCACUGUUCCUAGACCAGUUAACCCACUGUUCCUAGACCAGUUAACCCACUGUUCCUAGACCUGUUAACCCACUGUUCCUAGACCAGUUAACCCACUGUUCCUAGACCAGUUAACCCACUGUUCCUAGACCAGUAAAAAAUGUCCCAGCCAAGAUGGAGGGCAUCGUUCUGUCAUUCAUCAUAAUGGAUGUUCUAUGUAUAGCAUUCUAUUAAAGUCAUCAGGCCCUGUCUUUACUGUGUUGAUCUGCUUCAGCUUCUAUUCCAUUUUGAAUUCUACAUUUAACACAAUCUAGCAUGCACAAUCUAUUUAGACAGCUGACGCGAGCACACAUCACAUCAUUGUCUUCAGGAAAAUGUACUUCUCGAGUCAUAUUUUUCUUACAUUUUUUUUUAGAUGUGUUCACUGCAGGCUUGACUAGCAGGCUACUAGCAGGCUAUGUAGGCUAUUAAGUUGCAGAGUCUCAUUUUAAAUACAUGCCCAGAUCAACCUGAGGUUUUACAGCAACAUGAUCCGAAAAGGGAGGCUACUGAAAUAGUUUUCCUGUUACUGUUCGACUCACAAAAUAUAAUUUCAAUUCACAACAUUAACAAUGUCUACAACUGUAUUUCUGAUCAAUUUAAUGGGCAAAAAUGUAGCUUUUCUUUAAAAAACAAGGACAUUUCUAAGUGACCACAAACUUUUGAACGGUAGUGUGUGUGGGUGUUAGUCUGAUUCAGACUGUAGGUGUGUGUGUGUGUGUUUUAGUGUGAUUCAGACUGUAGGUGUGUGUUAGUGUGAUUCAGACUGUAGGUGUGUGUUAGUGUGAUUCAGACUGUAGGUGUGUGUGUUAGUGUGAUUCAGACUGUAGGUGUGUGUUUUAGUGUGAUUCAGACUGUAGGUGUGUGUGUGUGUUAGUGUGAUUCAGACUGUAGGUGUGUGUUUUAGUGUGAUUCAGACUGUAGGUGUGUGUGUGUGUGUUAGUGUGAUUCAGACUGUAGGUGUGUGUGUUAGUGUGAUUCAGACUGUAGGUGUGUGUUUUAGUGUGAUUCAGACUGUAGGUGUGUGUUUUAGUGUGAUUCAGACUGUAGGUGUGUGUGUUAGUGUGAUUCAGACUGUAGGUGUGUGUUUUAGUGUGAUUCAGACUGUAGGUGUGUGUGUGUGUUAGUGUGAUUCAGACUGUAGGUGUGUGUUUUAGUGUGAUUCAGACUGUAGGUGUGUGUGUUAGUGUGAUUCAGACUGUAGGUGUGUGUGUUAGUGUGAUUCAGACUGUAGGUGUGUGUUUUAGUGUGAUUCAGACUGUAGGUGUGUGUUUUAGUGUGAUUCAGACUGUAGGUGUGUGUGUUUUAGUGUGAUUCAGACUGUAGGUGUGUGUGUGUUAGUGUGAUUCAGACUGUAGGUGUGUGUGUUAGUGUGAUUCAGACUGUAGGUGUGUGUGUGUUUUAGUGUGAUUCAGACUGUAGGUGUGUGUGUUAGCGUGAUUCAGACUGUAGGUGUGUGUGUGUGUUAGUGUGAUUCAGACUGUAGGUGUGUGUGUGUUAGUGUGAUUCAGACUGUAGGUGUGUGUGUGUUAGUGUGAUUCAGACUGUAGGUGUGUGUGUGUGUUUUAGUGUGAUUCAGACUGUAGGUGUGUGUGUUAGCGUGAUUCAGACUGUAGGUGUGUGUGUGUGUGUGUUAGUGUGAUUCAGACUGUAGGUGUGUGUGUGUUAGUGUGAUUCAGACUGUAGGUGUGUGUGUUAGUGUGAUUCAGACUGUAGGUGUGUGUGUUAGCGUGAUUCAGACUGUAGGUGUGUGUGUGUUAGUGUGAUUCAGACUGUAGGUGUGUGUGUGUGUUAGUGUGAUUCAGACUGUAGGUG
Molecule: long non-coding RNA, 3398 nt
Organism: Oncorhynchus keta (chum salmon)
Lineage: Eukaryota; Metazoa; Chordata; Actinopteri; Salmoniformes; Salmonidae
Exons: 4
Source: RefSeq, a predicted model, not a curated record